CAAUACAUCACCGGCGGACGGGUGCGUAACGCGUGGGAAUGUACCUAUUGGUUCGGAACAACUGAGGGAAACUUCAGCUAAUACCGAAUGUGCCCGAAAGGGGAAAGAUUUAUCGCCAAUGGAUCAGCCCGCGUAGGAUUAGCUAGUUGGUGAGGUAAUGGCUCACCAAGGCUCCGAUCCUUAGCUGUUCUGAGAGGAAGAUCAGCCACACUGGGACUGAGACACGGCCCAGACUCCUACGGGAGGCAGCAGUUGGGAAUCUUGGACAAUGGGGGAAACCCUGAUCCAGCCAUGCCGCGUGAGUGAUGAAGGCCUUCGGG
Molecule: ribosomal RNA, 320 nt
Filed under: uncultured bacterium
Lineage: Bacteria
Description: bacterial SSU rRNA
Rfam family: Bacterial small subunit ribosomal RNA
Source: RNAcentral